RNAcentral lists this ribosomal RNA (463 nucleotides) under bacterium NC3007. RNAcentral describes it as "bacterial SSU rRNA". It matches the Rfam family "Bacterial small subunit ribosomal RNA", at positions 28 to 478 of the family's 1533-position model. The record is from RNAcentral.
GAUAAACGCUGGCGGCGUGCUUAACACAUGCAAGUCGAACGGAGUACUUCUCCCGAGACCGAGGAAGCUUGCUUCCAAAGAAUCAUUUGAAGUACUUAGUGGCGGACGGGUGAGUAACGCGUGGGUAACCUGCCUCACACAGGGGGAUAACAGUUGGAAACGACUGUUAAUACCGCAUAAGCGCACAGUAUCGCAUGAUACAGUGUGAAAAACUCCGGUGGUGUGAGAUGGACCCGCGUCUGAUUAGCUAGUUGGUGAGGUAACGGCCCACCAAGGCGACGAUCAGUAGCCGGCCUGAGAGGGUGUACGGCCACAUUGGGACUGAGACACGGCCCAAACUCCUACGGGAGGCAGCAGUGGGGAAUAUUGCACAAUGGGGGAAACCCUGAUGCAGCGACGCCGCGUGAGUGAUGAAGUAUCUCGGUAUGUAAAGCUCUAUCAGCAGGGAAGAUAAUGACGGUAC